UCCCGUGUGGCUCAGUUGCUAGAGCAUGGCGCUUGCAACCCCAGAAUUGUGGGUUUGAGUCCCACGUGGGAC
Molecule: non-coding RNA, 72 nt
Organism: Salmo salar (Atlantic salmon)
Lineage: Eukaryota; Metazoa; Chordata; Actinopteri; Salmoniformes; Salmonidae
Source: Rfam